RNAcentral lists this ribosomal RNA (302 nucleotides) under uncultured bacterium. RNAcentral's name for it is "partial 16S ribosomal RNA". It matches the Rfam family "Bacterial small subunit ribosomal RNA", at positions 508 to 807 of the family's 1533-position model. The record is from RNAcentral.
GCAGCCGCCGCGGGAAUACAGAGGGUGCGAGCGUUAAUCGGAUUUACUGGGCGUAAAGCGUGCGUAGGCGGCUUUUUAAGUCGGAUGUGAAAUCCCUGAGCUUAACUUAGGAAUUGCAUUCGAUACUGGGAAGCUAGAGUAUGGGAGAGGAUGGUAGAAUUCCAGGUGUAGCGGUGAAAUGCGUAGAGAUCUGGAGGAAUACCGAUGGCGAAGGCAGCCAUCUGGCCUAAUACUGACGCUGAGGUACGAAAGCAUGGGGAGCAAACAGGAUUAGAUACCCGCGUAGUCCCUGUCUCUUAUAC